UCAAGGGGCCUGCUCCCUGAGUUAGUGGCGAACGGGUGAGUAAUGCAUCGGAAAGUAACCCGUUGUGGGGGAUAACGUAGCGAAAGGUACGCUAAUACCGCAUACGAUUUGAGGAUGAAAGCGGGGGACCUUCGGGCCUCGCGCGAUUGGAGCGGCCGAUGUCGGAUUAGCUAGUUGGUGAGGUAAAAGCUCACCAAGGCGACGAUCCGUAGGUGGUUUGAGAGGAUGAUCAGCCACCCUGGGACUGAGACCCGGCCCCGACUCCUACGGGAGGCAGCAGUGGGGAAUUUUGGACAAUGGGGGAAACCCUGAUCCAGCCCUGCCGCGUGAGUGAAGAAGGCCUUCGGGUUGUAAAGCUUUUUCAGACGGAAAGAAAUCGCCCGGGUGAAUACCCCGUGUGGAUGACGGUUCCAGGAGAAGAAGCACCGGCUAACUACGUG
RNAcentral lists this ribosomal RNA (440 nucleotides) under uncultured bacterium. RNAcentral describes it as "bacterial SSU rRNA". It matches the Rfam family "Bacterial small subunit ribosomal RNA", at positions 71 to 507 of the family's 1533-position model. The record is from RNAcentral.